GCUUAACACAUGCAAGUCGAGGGGUAACAGGAGUGCUUGCACUCGCUGACGACCGGCGCACGGGUGCGUAACGCGUAUAGAACCUACCUUUUACUGAGGGAUAGCCUUUAGAAAUGAAGAUUAAUACCUCAUGGUAUUGUAAACUGGCAUCGGUUUAUAAUUAAAGAUUUAUUGGUAAAAGAUGGCUAUGCGUCUUAUUAGCUAGAUGGUAAGGUAACGGCUUACCAUGGCAACGAUAAGUAGGGGCCCUGAGAGGGGGAUCCCCCACACUGGUACUGAGACACGGACCAGACUCCUACGGGAGGCAGCAGUGAGGAAUAUUGGGCAAUGGAGGCAACUCUGACCCAGCCAUGCCGCGUGCAGGAAGACUGCCCUAUGGGUUGUAAACUGCUUUUAUACAGGAAGAAACACACCUACGUGUAGGUGCUUGACGGUACUGUAAGAAUAAGCACCGGCUAACUCCGUGCCAGCAGCCGCGGUAAUACGGAGGGUGCAAGCGUUAUCCGGAAUCAUUGGGUUUAAAGGGUCCGCAGGCGGUCAAUUAAGUCAGAGGUGAAAUCCCAUAGCUUAACUAUGGAACUGCCUUUGAUACUGGUUGACUUGAGUUAUACGGAAGUAGAUAGAAUGUGUAGUGUAGCGGUGAAAUGCAUAGAUAUUACACAGAAUACCGAUUGCGAAGGCAGUCUACUACGUAUAUACUGACGCUCAUGGACGAAAGCGUGGGGAGCGAACAGGAUUAGAUACCCUGGUAGUCCACGCCGUAAACGAUGGACACUAGUUGUUGGAAUUAUUCAGUGACUAAGCGAAAGUGAUAAGUGUCCCACCUGGGGAGUACGAUCGCAAGAUUGA
RNAcentral lists this ribosomal RNA (849 nucleotides) under uncultured marine bacterium. RNAcentral's name for it is "bacterial SSU rRNA". It matches the Rfam family "Bacterial small subunit ribosomal RNA", at positions 46 to 897 of the family's 1533-position model. The record is from RNAcentral.